This 99-nucleotide ribosomal RNA is filed under the name Priestia megaterium. Its description in RNAcentral is "Bacillus megaterium partial 16S ribosomal RNA". It matches the Rfam family "Bacterial small subunit ribosomal RNA", at positions 1 to 96 of the family's 1533-position model. The record is from RNAcentral. Lineage: Bacteria; Bacillati; Bacillota; Bacilli; Caryophanales; Bacillaceae.
UUUCUUCGGAGAGUUUGAUCCUGGCUCAGGAUGAACGCUGGCGGCGUGCCUAAUACAUGCAAGUCGAGCGAACUGAUUAGAAGCUUGCUUCUAUGACGU